AGACAGGCAGGCAGCUGCAUGAGAGGUGGAAAGAGAGAGAAAAUGACUGAGAUGAAAUCACCAACAACAGCUAUUGCAGGAAGAAAGGCACUGUUGGAUCUCAGCCACAGUACUUCUGCAACCUGGUUUGAAUGGGCCUGAUGGGAUGCCAUAAUGGAACCUACACCGAACAAGGUGCGUCUAUCUCAUCUCCUCAGGCAUUCUUGUCAUGGCCACUUGAGAGCCUGGUGAGGAAGAGCAGUGACUGGAAGAGACCAGGUGAAAAACAGACGGAUGGCUUGGAGAUUUAGCCCUCUGCUGGUUCUGUACUUCUGCAACAGAAGAACUUCUGCAACAGCUGAACUUCCAGUAGAUCUGAGCACUGUCCAUAAUAAUAUCAGAUUUCUUGGUUGCCUAACAGGCCAGCUUACUGCUGCCCGAGAAAUACUGCUAGGAAGUCAAGGCUAAGUAUUGUUAACAACAGUGGGGUUAUGACCUGGAAACAUAGUGGAGAAACUGAAUGGGCUAGUAGUGAAAAUGUAUGUAGCAGUUGAAAAGAUGGCAGUACCGGUGUGUGUGUAGAUCUAUAUGUAUUUGGAUAUAGAUAAACCAGAAUCUACAUUAAGGGAAUGUCACAAACACUACAAAUUCAAGGACUCAAAUAUAGUUCAGUUCAACCUUUGAACAAGGGUAAAAAAGGAUUUGAGAUAUUCUCUGUGCACUUGAAGUAGCUAGCAACAACAUGAUGGCAGUUCUAAGUAAAGGGCUUUAAUCAGAGUAUAUAAAAAGACUGGAAGGAUGUUUGAACAACAUGUCCAGCUCCCAAGCAUUGUCUCUUUCCUGCUAUCAGUGACACCCAUUGUGCAAUAACAACAUUUGCACAGAGAUGCGUCCUGCUUUGCAGAGAGAGAAUAUACUGAAGCAGCCAUAGGGCUGUGCUAGCCUUGGCUAGAAGAGUCCCCAAGGGCCUGUCUGCCAGCUGCUGACUGAUGUAGAGCUGCUGCUGCUGAUAAUAGGGUACAUGCUCCAACUCCAAGCUGAACUAGACAAUCCUGGGCACAGUCAGAUGUGCUCACAGGGAUCAAGUUCAAGCCUGUUUAAGGAGUUAGUUCCCGUCAGUGCUGAUUUAAGCUAAGGAGUUUUGCUGUGUAUUGGAAAGGACUAGGAAUGCUCACAGAGUCAGCUACUUCAUCUUGGCUGUCAUAGUGGUGAUUUCAACAGAGCCAGGGGAGUCGGAAAGACAACAAACAGCUGAGAUCUGUAACUUCUUAAAUCAUGCAGACACAAGCUGCAAAAGGUGUAUUUCCAUUAGAUGUAUGCCUGCUUGUACGUACUAAAACUAUGCUUUUUCAAAAUAGUUUAGGCAAGAGGUGCCUAAACUUCUUUACCUAAACUUUCUUUGAAACUUCUUCAUUCCACACUGGAAGUGGUUGGUGGUGGUUGAACAUUGCUGAUAUAUUCAGGCGUG
Molecule: long non-coding RNA, 1447 nt
Filed under: Struthio camelus australis
Lineage: Eukaryota; Metazoa; Chordata; Aves; Struthioniformes; Struthionidae
Description: lncRNA (ENSSCUG00000013604.1)
Source: RNAcentral